UGGUUUGAAAACAAAUUACCAUGUUGUUCAUGAACGUUUGUACCUAACCAGUAGCAUUAAUAGUAUGUUAGACAUGUUAGAUACAUGUAGUUGUGUAAAUAUUUUUAAAGUGAUACAUGUAAAUGUAUUAUAUCAAAUACUAUAUGUAAUUAUCAUCCUGUUGAAGGGCAACAUUAUCCCCAGAUAAUUAACUGGAAGCCAUGUUAUAGCAAAUGUUGCUUGAAGUGGUGUUACCCCCCCCCCCC
This 245-nucleotide long non-coding RNA is filed under the name Mytilus galloprovincialis (Mediterranean mussel). The record is from RNAcentral. Lineage: Eukaryota; Metazoa; Mollusca; Bivalvia; Mytilida; Mytilidae.